AUGGCUCCGUUGACGGAAGACAUCCAUAUAAAGAUCUGACCUGUGUUCAACAUUCUCAUCAUGAUGCACACAAACUAACCAUCAGAUCCUCUCAAGUUAUUAUGAAUAGAGGCCAGGAUCACAUGAAAACCUCAAAUGGAUUGGGUGGUAGAUUCUAUGAUCCCUAUCCUGAAUCUCCUUCAUUUCAAAACCGGCAAGUUUCGUAUGGCUCCGUUGACGGAAGAUAUCCAUAUAAAGAUCUGACCCGUGUUCAACAUUCUCAUCAUGAUACACACAAACUAAACAUUAGAUCCUCUCAAGUUAUUAUGAAUAGAGGCCAGGAUUACAUGAAAAGCUCAAAUGGAUUGGGUGGUAGAUUCUAUGACCUCUAUCCUGAAUCUCCUCCAUUCCAAAACCAGCAAGGUUCAUAUGACUCUGUUGACGGAAGACUUCCAUUUAAAGAUCUGGCCCGUGUUCAACAUUCUCAUCAUGAUGCACACAAACUAAACAUCAGAUCCUCUCAAGUUAUUAUUAAUAGAGGCCAGGAUGACAUGAAAAGCUCAAAUGGAUUGGGUGGUAGAUUUUAUGACCCCUAUCCUGAAUCUCCUCCAUUCCAAAACCAGCAAGGUUCAUAUGGCUCUGUUGACGGAAGACUUCCAUUUAAAGAUCUGACCCGUGUUCAACAUUCUCAUCAUGAUGCACACAAACUAAACAUCAGAUCCUCUCAAGUUAUUAUUAAUAGAGGCCAGGAUGACAUGAAAAGCUCAAAUGGAUUGAGUGGUAGAUCCUAUGACCCCUAUCCUGAAUCUUCUCCAUUUCAAAACCAGCAAGGUUCGUAUGGCUCCGUUGACGGAAGACAUCCAUAUAAAGAUCUGACCCGUGUUCAACAUUCUCCUGAUGGUUGGUUUCGGGGCAAUUCUGAUCGUAAUCAGGGUC
This 915-nucleotide long non-coding RNA is filed under the name Zostera marina. RNAcentral's name for it is "long non-coding RNA (ZMAR_LNC006003)". The record is from RNAcentral. Lineage: Eukaryota; Viridiplantae; Streptophyta; Magnoliopsida; Alismatales; Zosteraceae.